AACGAACGCUGGCGGCAUGCUUAUCACAUGCAAGUCGAACGAGACCUUCGGGUCUAGUGGCUCACGGGUGCGUAACGCGUGGGAAUCUGCCCUUUGCUACGGAAUAACUCAGAGAAAUUUGUGCUAAUACCGUAUAAUGUCGUAAGACCAAAGAUUUAUCGGCAAAGGAUGAGCCCGCGUAAGAUUAGCUUGUUGGUGGGGUAAAGGCCUACCAAGGCGACGAUCUUUAGCUGGUCUGAGAGGAUGAUCAGCCACACUGGGACUGAGACACGGCCCAGACUCCUACGGGAGGCAGCAGUGGGGAAUAUUGGACAAUGGGCGAAAGCCUGAUCCAGCAAUGCCGCGUGAGUGAUGAAGGCCUUAGGGUUGUAAAGCUCUUUUACCAGGGAUGAUAAUGACAGUACCUGGAGAAUAAGCUCCGGCUAACUCCGUGCCAGCCGCCGCAGUAA
RNAcentral lists this ribosomal RNA (449 nucleotides) under uncultured bacterium. RNAcentral describes it as "partial 16S ribosomal RNA". It matches the Rfam family "Bacterial small subunit ribosomal RNA", at positions 29 to 523 of the family's 1533-position model. The record is from RNAcentral.